UCUUCUAUUUCUUUUCAGGAUAGUUGGCAUUGCAGGUUCAUAGACUUGGUCGUUGGGGGGUGGUGAGUCCUUCGGGCACCUAAAACUGUGGCAAGUUGAUGUGGACUGACAACUUUUUGAUCAUGGUGGGGUUGUCAUGGCAUGGUAGCGUGGACUGAGCACAGUGUGGGUGUGUCAGCUUGGGACAAUGGCGAUGAUCCUCCACUCAUGGCAGUGGAAACUGGCCACCAACCUUUUGGGCACCACUUCAGUGGCUUGCCAGUCCUUUGAUGUACCCAACAAUAGUGUAAGAUGGCAGCUUCUGCUUUCAGAUUAUCUACAGUGUCUUCAGCUUGGUUUCUGACCUGUAUUCUUGUUGCAGCUGUAUGCUUCCUCUUCCCAAGCUGCUUCCGAGAUGUACACGACUCUGAAACACCUUCCCUUGUCUCUCCAAAAACAAGUAAUGCAUGCUUCCAGCAUGGGUUCUUGAGAUCCAACACUUGUUGAGGAGAAGAAGGUGAACCAUGGUGUGGGCCAUGGAUCAGCAGGGAAAGAAGCUCGAUGACAGUAUGAGAACAUUCACCGCUAGAGCAAGGAAGGAAAGUAGAUUUGAGACUCUGCAUCAUACAUACAUGAGAGAGAGGAGCAGUGAGCAUUAGAGCCAGUGUGAUUUGAUCCUUG
Molecule: long non-coding RNA, 660 nt
Filed under: Musa acuminata (dwarf banana)
Lineage: Eukaryota; Viridiplantae; Streptophyta; Magnoliopsida; Zingiberales; Musaceae
Description: long non-coding RNA (MACU_LNC006198)
Source: RNAcentral